GUAGGUGGCAAGCGUUGUCCGGGAAUUAUUGGGGCGUAAAGCGCGCGCAGGCGGUUCUUUAAGUCUGAUGUGAAAGCCCACGGGCUCAACCGUGGAGGGUCAUUGGAAACUGGAGAACUUGAGUACAGAAGAGGAAUGCGGAAUUCCACGUGUAGCGGUGAAAUGCGUAGAGAUGUGGAGGAACACCAGUGGCGAAGGCGGCUUUCUGGUCUGUAACUGACGCUGAGGCGCGAAAGCGUGGGGAGCAAACAGGAUUAGAUACCCUGGUAGUCCACGCCGUAAACGAUGAGUGCUAAGUGUUAGGGGGUUUCCGCCCCUUAGUGCUGCAGCUAACGCAUUAAGCACUCCGCCUGGGGAGUACGGCCGCAAAGGCUG
This 375-nucleotide ribosomal RNA is filed under the name uncultured organism. Its description in RNAcentral is "partial 16S ribosomal RNA". It matches the Rfam family "Bacterial small subunit ribosomal RNA", at positions 527 to 896 of the family's 1533-position model. The record is from RNAcentral.